Long non-coding RNA from Xiphias gladius (swordfish), 597 nucleotides. RefSeq lists it as uncharacterized. NCBI's taxonomy places the organism in Eukaryota, Metazoa, Chordata, Actinopteri, Istiophoriformes, Xiphiidae. The transcript has 4 exons. The record is from RefSeq and is a predicted model, not a curated record.
GAAGGCAGGUCUGGUGAAAUGAAGGGAGAAACAACAGAGGCUGGAGACAGGGGGCCGAGGCGAACUGGAGCUUACCGUGAUAGCUUAGGCUGGCAUUUUUGUCAGCCAUCAGGCUGAUGUGUUUCCUCUAUCAUUUUAGCUUUCUAGAUAGGUUGAAAGGAAUGGAUAUUUAGAAAGCAGUGCUCUCAGCAACGGCAGGUUUCUUUUCCAGAGUUCAGACAUCUUAAUUUUUUCUUGGGAUGGUCAGCCACUUGAAACACAACACCACCCAGACUUUUCGUGUUUUUUUCAUCAGCAGGGAAAAGUUUCAAAAGAAUCAGAAACUGAAGAGAAAACAUGAGAGAAAUUUAAGAAAAUGUUGCUGCAUGAGGCCCAAAGGCUCUGACCAACCCAUGAACUCUUUUUCUUUGUGUGUGUGUGUGGUUGUGUGGAAAGAGAUGACAUGAUAGCAGGGACUUUGAUGUUUCCUGUGUGUGUUGCAGACUCAGACACUCUGACCAAGAUCAUUUUUACCUCAUCCUCCUCUCUUUUCACAUCCGGUCUGUUAAACAUCUAAUACAUCAAAUGAAAUCAAAUCACAUCUAAUUGUCUCUUAUU